Molecule: microRNA precursor, 91 nt
Filed under: Marmota monax (woodchuck)
Lineage: Eukaryota; Metazoa; Chordata; Mammalia; Rodentia; Sciuridae
Source: RNAcentral
AUGCAAAUCACUUGGCAUCUUCUUAAGAUGCAGAUUCUGAUACAGUAGGUCUGAGAUUCUUUAUUCUGACAAGUUUCUAGAUGCUGCUGGU